RNAcentral lists this ribosomal RNA (496 nucleotides) under uncultured bacterium. RNAcentral describes it as "partial 16S ribosomal RNA". It matches the Rfam family "Bacterial small subunit ribosomal RNA", at positions 29 to 507 of the family's 1533-position model. The record is from RNAcentral.
AUGAACGCUGGCGGCGUGCCUAAUACAUGCAAGUCGAGCGAACGGACGAGAAGCUUGCUUCUCUAAUGUUAGCGGCGGACGGGUGAGUAACACGUGGAUAACCUACCUAUAAGACUGGGAUAACUUCGGGAAACCGUAGCUAAUACCGGAUAAUAUUUUGAACCGCAUGGUUCAAAAGUGAAAGACGGUCUUGCUGUCACUUACAGAUGGAUCCGCGCUGCAUUAGCUAGUUGGUAAGGUAACGGCUUACCAAGGCAACGAUGCAUAGCCGACCUGAGAGGGUGAUCGGCCACACUGGAACUGAGACACGGUCCAGACUCCUACGGGAGGCAGCAGUAGGGAAUCUUCCGCAAUGGGCGAAAGCCUGACGGAGCAACGCCGCGUGAGUGAUGAAGGUCUUCGGAUCGUAAAACUCUGUUAUUAGGGAAGAACAUAUGUGUAAGUAACUGUGCACAUCUUGACGGUACCUAAUCAGAAAGCCACGGCUAACUACGUG